Molecule: ribosomal RNA, 291 nt
Filed under: uncultured soil bacterium
Lineage: Bacteria
Description: partial 16S ribosomal RNA
Rfam family: Bacterial small subunit ribosomal RNA
Source: RNAcentral
AGGACGAACGCUGGCGGCGUGCUUAACACAUGCAAGUCGAGCGGAAAGGCCUUUCGGGGUACUCGAGCGGCGAACGGGUGAGUAACACGUGAGUAAUCUGCCCAUCGCUUCAGGAUAGCCAUCGGAAACGGUGAUUAAUACUGGAUAUGACAUUCCUUCGCAUGUUGGGGUGUGGUAAAGUUUUUCGGCGGUGGAUGUGCUCGCGGCCUAUCAGUCUUGGUUGGGUGGGUAAUGGCCUACGAAGGUCUUUGGACGGGUAGCCGGCUGGAGGAGGGUCGACCGGCACGACGU